This 696-nucleotide long non-coding RNA is filed under the name Marmota monax (woodchuck). Lineage: Eukaryota; Metazoa; Chordata; Mammalia; Rodentia; Sciuridae. The record is from RNAcentral.
GGGAGUAACAUAAAUGCUCUCUCUACUCUGUCUGUCCUGUACAAUAUUUUUACUGGUCUUAGAUACAGUGUACUAUUUUCAUUUUAGAUAUAGUUUUUUAAGUUCACCCCAUAAAACACAAUAAUCCAUGCCCUGAAUUUCACAUAAUUUACUGAAAUGCUCUUUGUUUUUUCAAAGAGUGUAGAUCAUGGGCAAGUUCAGUCUCCUUUGUUAGAAAGUGUGUUGUCUUUUCAUUGAUUUUUUGUUGCCUCUCAUUGUGUAUCUUUUGUAUUAUAAUCUUUUUUAUCACUCAUUACAUAUAUUUUCAGGGUUUUUAUUUGUGUGUGUGUGUGUGUACAUGGACUGUUGGGGAUUAAACCGAGGGCUAUCAAGUUCUUACUACUGAGCUACUCUCCACCCCAAGAAAAUUCGUAUUGUAGACUGGGGUUUACUUAUUUGCUGAUGUAUUGAGUGCUGGGAUUGAAGCCAGGGACUUGAUCAUGCUUAUGUUGUCCUCAAAAAAAUGAAUUUCAAUGUGUGAGCAGCAUUUUGGAGGUGGGCAGGUGUUUUACUGGGUAAUAAACCUAGACGCACUUGACCACUGAGAACGUCCUCAGCCCUUCCUAUUUAUUAUGUACCUAUUUAUUUUUAUUUUUAUUUUGUAUAGUUGUAGAGGGGCAGAAUACCUUAUUUUUGUUAAUUUAUCUGUGGUGCUAA